RNAcentral lists this ribosomal RNA (490 nucleotides) under uncultured bacterium. Its description in RNAcentral is "partial 16S ribosomal RNA". It matches the Rfam family "Bacterial small subunit ribosomal RNA", at positions 29 to 507 of the family's 1533-position model. The record is from RNAcentral.
AAUGAACGCUGGCGGCAUGCCUUACACAUGCAAGUCGAACGGCAGCAUGAUCUAGCUUGCUAGGUUGAUGGCGAGUGGCGAACGGGUGAGUAAUGCAUCGGAACGUGUAUUUUAGUGGGGGAGAACGUAGCGAAAGUUACGCUAAUACCGCAUAUUCUCUGUGGAGGAAAGCAGGGGACCUUCGGGCCUUGCGCUAGAAGAGCGGCCGAUGUCGGAUUAGCUAGUUGGUGAGGUAAAGGCUCACCAAGGCAACGAUCCGUAGCGGGUCUGAGAGGAUGAUCCGCCACACUGGGACUGAGACACGGCCCAGACUCCUACGGGAGGCAGCAGUGGGGAAUUUUGGACAAUGGGCGCAAGCCUGAUCCAGCCAUGCCGCGUGAGUGAAGAAGGCCUUCGGGUUGUAAAGCUCUUUCGGCUGGGAAGAAAUCGCACCCUCUAAUACAGGGUGUGGAUGACGGUACCAGCAUAAGAAGCACCGGCUAACUACGUG